Triticum urartu is the source of this 2735-nucleotide non-coding RNA. The record is from RefSeq and is a predicted model, not a curated record. Lineage: Eukaryota; Viridiplantae; Streptophyta; Magnoliopsida; Poales; Poaceae.
AUUUCCGUCUGCUCCGUAGCACAGAAAGUGAGCUUUCCGGUGCAAUGGGCCCAUGACGCAAUUAAGUGCGUGGUCUGGUUCGUUCGGCUGGACACAGUUGACCUAGGUUUCAGAGUUCCGACGGUGAGCGGCGGCAGCGGCGCCGACGGCGACCAGAAUGGAGUUCCUCAUUCAGCCUAUCCACGGAUCCACUUUUCUUGAGGAGGUGGGGAGAGUUCGGUUCCGGCACCGGUGCGGGCGGAGGCAUCGGCUGCCAGUAUAGUCGUUCAGCCACAGGUUCCGUUGGAGGAAAUAGCAGCAAAGCAGUUGGGGGCAGAGGAUCAGCCGCUUGACACAGGGGAGGCACAAAUGAUGAUGGUGAGUGAAGCAGGGGCGGAGAGGAGAGACACAUCUCCACCAAGCUCUGAGCUUUCAGCCGGCAAGAUGAACCCACGAGCUCCAGGCUGCAAUAAGAGUUUCGUGCAGCUGUGUCUCAGCAACUGCAACUAGAUGUUUUUUCAGUUAUUACCAAGAAUGGUAGAAUAUCUUGUACCAAAUGAAUUUGAAUGGGUGUUAGAACGGAAUGUAUACGAGUAGUAGGAGGCUCGGCUGAAAGGAUAGCAGUGUGGAUAGCAUAGCUGAUCUUUGCCCUGUUUAUUUGAUUGGCACUUAGCGGUUUAGCUUUAAUGAAGGGAAUCCAGGGAAUUUGUAAACAUUGAAACAAAUGCAGCUGUGGUAUCUUAUAAUUUUGCGCUCGUAACUAGUAUUUUUCUUUCUAGGCAGAAGGUGAGGGUGAAAACGACGGGACUGAAAAAUUAGAUUGCUUGGACACAGAAAGGUUUAAGUGACGUAAUUACGAUGGCAGUGUUGGAUGGAUGUACUGAAAAAUUGCUUGUGAGGAAACAUCACUGUACAGUGAAAAGUUGCUGAUCGGAGCAGUUGCACCUAGCCGCCUGCCUUGCCCAAACCGUGUCAGUGCAUUUGAGAAGGCUGUUCGGAACUAUGCUGAGAAUCCAAGAGACCAUGUGGUCACUCCCACUAUUGGCACGGCAUUUGACUCAGUUGGAGAGGGUUAUGACUUCUUCAAUUUAUAUUCAUGGGAGAAAGGCUUUUGUAUUCGACAUGGCAAGAGCCGGCUAAAUGUAGAGAGAACAAUAUGCAUGCAGGAAAUAAUGUGCGGCUGCUCGGGGAAGGCUGGUGUUGAGAAUACGAGAUCCUGUCGUUGUGAAUGUCCCGCCCUGAUAAGGUUGCUGCGAGCAGAGGAUAAUGGGUGGUAUAUUGCGGAGCAUAGGGAUACUCAUAACCACUCGUUGUCCCCGAACUUUGGCGAGACACUCCAUUGGCCAUCGAACAAGCAUAUAGAUGCGUACACACGAGACCUUGUGAAGCAGUUGCGUCAGAAGUAGUGGUGUAUGUGGUGGACAGUGACAGCCGUGGAGAGUCCGAAUUUGAAGAAUGGUCUGACGAUGCUCAUGAAAGGAUGGUUGACAUUGACAGGAGGCUGAGGGAGCAGGAAGAUAAAGAUGCAGAAGUGGCAAGGAAGUGUCAGGAAGAUGCAGAAAAGGAAGCAAAAGAGCAACAUGCAAAAGAUGGAGAACUUGUAAGGAAAUGUCAAGAGGAGAUGGAGCAGAACGCGAGGGACCAAGUGGCAACUGAUAAUCAUGUUGCACCUACUGACGAGCAGAUCAAGAAGGUGUGUGCACGUGGUGUGGGUGAUGAUGCAGGGAGGACAAGGACAGGGGAACGGCGAUCAUCAGAUGUAGUGGUUCAGAAAAGCUUAGAUGAUUUUUUCUACUGUCGGAGUGGCAUGUCCUUGGAAGGAGUCAGUACAGGGCGGCGGUCCGUCCGCCAGAAGAGACGAAAGACUAAGAAAUCAAGCAGGGCAGGGCAUAAGCAGCGAAAGAGAGUUAAGUUCUCAAAUAUUGUUCAAACAAUUUGUCUGACUGAAAGCUCUGGAAGUGAUGACAACAUUUUUUAUGAUGGGAACGAGGCUAGUGGUGAGGACAAUGGGGAUCGUACUUCACACCGAAUUGCCAACGGGGGGAGGGAUGCUGUGGCGGGGGCGCGUGAGAGCAGGUCUGCAAAUGAUGGCUUUAAUGCUGCAGCUAAUGAAGUAGAUCCGAAAAUUGCAGCGCAGAGGGAUGCUGAUGGCAUACACGCAUCUGAAGAAGAGGUGCCUGUCAGUACUGGCACACUAUAUCGGCAUGACAACAACGAUGGAUACACUUUUGAGGGGAGAACUGCCAUACCGAAUCAUGGCAAUCUGAAGUCGGGGGGAGCUCAACACAGGUGCAAGGGCGCUCUGAGAAUUUGGUGCAAGAGUGUUUAGAUCUUCUAAACACUCUUAUAUUAGUUUACGGAGGGAGUACCAGGCACAGAGGGUCAAAGAACUGGAGCAGAGCAUAGAGCACCAGUAUCAAAGAGAAUGACAAGAAAUCUGAGGUUGCCUGUGGGGAUAGUGAGGAUCGACGUGAAGGCCGAGAUGGGAAUCUUCCACAGCAAGGCUGUCUGCGGCGGAUGCAUUAUAUGAGUAAAAAAAAUCGGUGGGUGGAGGCUACCGUUUGUUCUGUAACGGCUGAGGCGUGGCUCAGUCCGGUGGGUGUACAUCUGAGCCGCCUAAUGGGGGUGACGGCCGUCCAGAUAAAUGCGGCACUUGGGUGGGCCCUAUUCUGUGCGAAAGCAUCUGCUACUACUCAGAAUUAACUAACAGUAUAACUGAGCGAGCAACGAGCAACCACAGUGACUUUCCUUCGUCA